RNAcentral lists this transfer RNA (85 nucleotides) under Roseovarius nubinhibens ISM. RNAcentral's name for it is "tRNA-Leu(caa)". It matches the Rfam family "tRNA". Rfam says of the family: Transfer RNA (tRNA) molecules are approximately 80 nucleotides in length. The record is from RNAcentral. RNAcentral also lists the same sequence under 2 other names. Lineage: Bacteria; Pseudomonadati; Pseudomonadota; Alphaproteobacteria; Rhodobacterales; Roseobacteraceae.
GCCCGAGUGGCGGAAUUGGUAGACGCAGGGGAUUCAAAAUCCCCCGCCUAACGGCUUGUCGGUUCGAGUCCGACCUCGGGUACCA